Long non-coding RNA from Protopterus annectens (West African lungfish), 476 nucleotides. RefSeq lists it as uncharacterized. The record is from RefSeq and is a predicted model, not a curated record. Lineage: Eukaryota; Metazoa; Chordata; Ceratodontiformes; Protopteridae. The transcript is spliced from 2 exons.
AUCUGUUUUUCUCACAUAUAUUGAUCUGUCUAAAAUUUAUUAAGCUUAAAAAUUUGUUGGAGUCUGCCAGUACAGAUGGUUUCACUCAGACUGUUUUCACUUGUGUGAAGCACCAUGCAUAAUAAACUGCUACAUUACUUGUACAGCAUAAUGAAAUAUUAGGUAGUGACUCUGUAGAAGAACAUUCUUCUGUUUAUACUAACACAAAUGUUUUUUCUCCCCUUAGGGUGUGGAAAAACUGUUCAUUGAAUUCAGUCAUGAAGAGCUCUUUGCAUUUUACAACAAGCUUGAGACCAUCCAAGCUCAGCUGGACUCUCUUACAUGAUGUAUUGAUGACCGAGUUACCUGGCAUUUGUGUGCUACUUCUUUUGUCACUGUCAUCAACUACGGUUUCUUAGCAGCAAUGGUAGAACUUCCUGUGGAGUCAUGACAUAUUUUUUAUUACUGAAUGAAAUAAAGCCCAAAUGAAACUCAAA